CGGACGGGUGAGUAACGCGUGAGAAUCUGGCUUCAGGUCUGGGACAACCACUGGAAACGGUGGCUAAUACCGGAUGUGCCGAGAGGUGAAAGGUUAACUGCCUGAAGAUGAGCUCGCGUCUGAUUAGCUAGUUGGUAGAGUAAGAGCCUACCAAGGCGACGAUCAGUAGCUGGUCUGAGAGGACGAUCAGCCACACUGGGACUGAGACACGGCCCAGACUCCUACGGGAGGCAGCAGUGGGGGAUUUUCCGCAAUGGGCGAAAGCCUGACGGAGCAAUACCGCGUGAGGGAGGAAGGCUCUUGGGUCGUAAACCUCUUUUCUCAGGGAAGAACACAAUGACGGUACCUGAGGAAUAAGCAUCGGCUAACUCCGUGCCAGCAGCCGCGGUAAUACGGAGGAUGCAAGCGUUAUCCGGAAUGAUUGGGCGUAAAGCGUCCGCAGGUGGCAAUGUAAGUCUGCUGUUAAAGAGUCUAGCUCAACUAGAUAAGAGCAGUGGAAACUACAUAGCUAGAGUACGUUCGGGGCAGAGGGAAUUCCUGGUGUAGCGGUGAAAUGCGUAGAGAUCAGGAAGAACACCAGUGGCGAAGGCGCUCUGCUAGGCCGUAACUGACACUGAGGGACGAAAGCUAGGGGAGCGAAUGGGAUUAGAUACCCCAGUAGUC
Molecule: ribosomal RNA, 663 nt
Filed under: uncultured cyanobacterium
Lineage: Bacteria; Bacillati; Cyanobacteriota
Description: bacterial SSU rRNA
Rfam family: Bacterial small subunit ribosomal RNA
Source: RNAcentral